RNAcentral lists this ribosomal RNA (497 nucleotides) under uncultured bacterium. RNAcentral describes it as "partial 16S ribosomal RNA". It matches the Rfam family "Bacterial small subunit ribosomal RNA", at positions 28 to 507 of the family's 1533-position model. The record is from RNAcentral.
GAUGAACGCUGGCGGCGUGCCUAAUACAUGCAAGUCGAGCGAACAUACGAGGAGCUUGCUCCUCUGACGUUAGCGGCGGACGGGUGAGUAACACGUGGAUAACCUACCUAUAAGACUGGGAUAACUUCGGGAAACCGGAGCUAAUACCGGAUAAUAUAUUGAACCGCAUGGUUCAAUAGUGAAAGACGGCUUUGCUGUCACUUAUAGAUGGAUCCGCGCCGCAUUAGCUAGUUGGUAAGGUAACGGCUUACCAAGGCAACGAUGCGUAGCCGACCUGAGAGGGUGAUCGGCCACACUGGAACUGAGACACGGUCCAGACUCCUACGGGAGGCAGCAGUAGGGAAUCUUCCGCAAUGGGCGAAAGCCUGACGGAGCAACGCCGCGUGAGUGAUGAAGGUCUUCGGAUCGUAAAACUCUGUUAUUAGGGAAGAACAAAUGUGUAAGUAACUAUGCACGUCUUGACGGUACCUAAUCAGAAAGCCACGGCUAACUACGUG